UGGGGAAUAUUGGACAAUGGGCGCAAGCCUGAUGCAGCCAUGCCGCGUGUAUGAAGAAGGCCUUCGGGUUGUAAAGUACUUUCAGCGAGGAGGAAGGCGUUGUGGUUAAUAACCGCAACGAUUGACGUUACUCGCAGAAGAAGCACCGGCUAACUCCGUGCCAGCAGCCGCGGUAAUACGGAGGGUGCAAGCGUUAAUAGGAAUUACUGGGCGUAAAGCGCACGCAGGCGGUCUGUCAAGUCGGAUGUGAAAUCCCCGGGCUCAACCUGGGAACUGCAUCCGAAACUGGCAGGCUAGAGUCUUGUAGAGGGGGGUAGAAUUCCAGGUGUAGCGGUGAAAUGCGUAGAGAUCUGGAGGAAUACCGGUGGCGAAGGCGGCCCCCUGGACAAAGACUGACGCUCAGGUGCGAAAGCGUGGGGAGCAAACA
This 427-nucleotide ribosomal RNA is filed under the name uncultured bacterium. RNAcentral describes it as "partial 16S ribosomal RNA". It matches the Rfam family "Bacterial small subunit ribosomal RNA", at positions 355 to 774 of the family's 1533-position model. The record is from RNAcentral.